RNAcentral lists this ribosomal RNA (253 nucleotides) under uncultured bacterium. RNAcentral's name for it is "partial 16S ribosomal RNA". It matches the Rfam family "Bacterial small subunit ribosomal RNA", at positions 524 to 776 of the family's 1533-position model. The record is from RNAcentral.
UACAGGGGGUGCAAACGUUGCUCGGAAUCAUUGGGCGUAAAGGGUGCGUAGGCGGGUUUUUAAGUCAGGGGUGAAAUCCUGGAGCUCAACUCCAGAACUGCCUUUGAUACUGAAGAUCUUGAGUCCGGGAGAGGUGAGUGGAACUGCGAGUGUAGAGGUGAAAUUCGUAGAUAUUCGCAAGAACACCAGUGGCGAAGGCGGCUCACUGGCCCGGUACUGACGCUGAGGCACGAAAGCGUGGGGAGCAAACAGG